UACGUAGGGGCAAGCGUUGUCCGGAAUCAUUGGGCGUAAAGAGCGUGUAGGCGGCUUGAUAAGUCUGCUGUGAAAGUCCAGGGCUCAACCCUGGAAAGCCGGUGGAUACUGUCAGGCUCGAGUCCGGAAAAGGCGAGUGGAAUUCCUGGUGUAGCGGUGAAAUGCGCAGGAUAUCCAGGAGGAACACCAAUGGCGAAGGCAGCUCGCUGGGACGGUACUGACGCUGAGACGCGAAAGCUGGGGGAGCAAAACCA
RNAcentral lists this ribosomal RNA (254 nucleotides) under uncultured bacterium. RNAcentral describes it as "partial 16S ribosomal RNA". It matches the Rfam family "Bacterial small subunit ribosomal RNA", at positions 524 to 776 of the family's 1533-position model. The record is from RNAcentral.